CGCGGGGUGGAGCAGUUCGGUAGCUCGCUGGGCUCAUAACCCAGAGGUCGCAGGUUCAAAUCCUGUCCCCGCAAC
RNAcentral lists this transfer RNA (75 nucleotides) under Microbacterium terregens. RNAcentral's name for it is "tRNA-Met". It matches the Rfam family "tRNA". Rfam says of the family: Transfer RNA (tRNA) molecules are approximately 80 nucleotides in length. Their secondary structure includes four short double-helical elements and three loops (D, anti-codon, and T loops). The record is from RNAcentral. Lineage: Bacteria; Bacillati; Actinomycetota; Actinomycetes; Micrococcales; Microbacteriaceae. RNAcentral also lists the same sequence under 25 other names.